This 439-nucleotide ribosomal RNA is filed under the name uncultured bacterium. RNAcentral's name for it is "partial 16S ribosomal RNA". It matches the Rfam family "Bacterial small subunit ribosomal RNA", at positions 338 to 795 of the family's 1533-position model. The record is from RNAcentral.
CCUACGGGUGGCAGCAGUAGGGAAUAUUGCUCAAUGGGGGAAACCCUGAAGCAGCAACGCCGCGUGGAGGAUGAAGGUUUUCGGAUUGUAAACUCCUUUUGUUAGAGAAGAUAAUGACGGUAUCUAACGAAUAAGCACCGGCUAACUCCGUGCCAGCAGCCGCGGUAAUACGGAGGGUGCAGCGUUACUCGGAAGCACUGGGCGUAAAGGGCGCGUAGGCGGGAUAGCAAGGCAGAUGUGAAAUCCUAUGGCUUAACCAUAGAACUGCAUUUGAAACUGUUAUUCUAGAGUAUGGGAGAGGUAGGUGGAAUUCUUGGUGUAGGGGUAAAAUCCGUAGAGAUCAAGAGGAAUACUCAUUGCGAAGGCGACCUGCUAGAACAUAACUGACGCUGAUGCGCGAAAGCGUGGGGAGCAAACAGGAUUAGAUACCCGGGUAGUC